RNAcentral lists this microRNA (21 nucleotides) under Zea mays. RNAcentral describes it as "miRt7b". Lineage: Eukaryota; Viridiplantae; Streptophyta; Magnoliopsida; Poales; Poaceae. The record is from RNAcentral.
AUUGGAGAGGAUUGAGGGGGA